Molecule: ribosomal RNA, 1221 nt
Filed under: metagenome
Description: bacterial LSU rRNA
Rfam family: Bacterial large subunit ribosomal RNA
Source: RNAcentral
ACUCGGCAAAUUGACACCGUAACUUCGGAAGAAGGUGUGCCUUUAGUAGGUGAACCUGUACAAGGGGAGCCCAAUGAGGUUGCAAAAAAUCGGUGGCUGCGACUGUUUAAUAAAAACACAGCACUCUGCAAACACGAAAGUGGACGUAUAGGGUGUGACGCCUGCCCGGUGCUGGAAGAUUAAAUGAUGGGGUGCAAGCUCUUGAUUGAAGUCCCAGUAAACGGCGGCCGUAACAAUAACGGUCCUAAGGUAGCGAAAUUCCUUGUCGGGUAAGUUCCGACCUGCACGAAUGGCGUAACGAUGGCCACACUGUCUCCUCCUGAGACACAGCGAAGUUGAAAUGUUUGUGAUGAUGCAAUCUCCCCGCGGAAAGACGGAAAGACCCCAUGAACCUUUACUGUAGCUUUGUAUUGGACUUUGAACAGAUCUGUGUAGGAUAGGUGGGAGGCUUUGAAGUGUGGUCGCUAGAUCGCAUGGAGCCAACGUUGAAAUACCACCCUGGUGUGUUUGAGGUUCUAACCUAGGCCCGUAAUCCGGGUCGGGGACAGUGCAUGGUAGGCAGUUUGACUGGGGCGGUCUCCUCCCAAAGCGUAACGGAGGAGUUCGAAGGUACGCUAGGUACGGUCGGACAUCGUGCUAAUAGUGCAAUGGCAUAAGCGUGCUUAACUGCGAGACUGACAAGUCGAGCAGAUGCGAAAGCAGGACAUAGUGAUCCGGUGGUUCUGUAUGGAAGGGCCAUCGCUCAACGGAUAAAAGGUACUCUGGGGAUAACAGGCUGAUACCGCCCAAGAGUUCAUAUCGACGGCGGUGUUUGGCACCUCGAUGUCGGCUCAUCUCAUCCUGGGGCUGUAGCCGGUCCCAAGGGUAUGGCUGUUCGCCAUUUAAAGAGGUACGUGAGCUGGGUUUAAAACGUCGUGAGACAGUUUGGUCCCUAUCUUCCGUGGGCGCUGCAGAUUUGAGGAAGCCUGCUCCUAGUACGAGAGGACCGGAGUGGACACACCUCUGGUGUAUCGGUUGUCACGCCAGUGGCAUUGCCGAGUAGCUAUGUGUGGAAGAGAUAACCGCUGAAAGCAUCUAAGCGGGAAACUCGUUUCAAGAUGAGAUCUGCCGGGGCCUUGAGCCCCCUAAAGAGUCGUUCAAGACCAGGACGUUGAUAGGUCGGGUGUGGAAGCGCAGUAAUGCGUUAAGCUAACCGAUACUAAUUGCUCGUGCGGCUUGAUC